UGAGGAGGUAUUUUGCUGAUUUUCCUUGGAAUGACUACUGCUUCCGUGUCAGAGACCCGUCUUUGUGUGCUGAGCGCAUAACAGAGGUGAUACCCAGUGGGCAAAUGUCACGUAAUUCACGUGGAAUACACGUGGAUCCUGCACGUGGAUUACUCAUGGAUAUUUGAUGGAAAAUGCAAAAUCGAAUUCACGUGAAAAUGAACACGUGGAAUACACGUGUACAAAUUCACGUGUAAUACACGGUAAUAUCUGGUGGAAUAAUCCAUGUGUUUAUUUAUCCGCUGCAUUAUCGUGCUCUGGUAAUCUGCAUGUCAUCAGUGCAUCCAGUCUCUCAGUAUAUGUUUCUGUAUCAUUUACGUAAGCUAUAGUCGAAUAGGCUAUUAUAAACAGAAACAUAUCCUUUACGAGACCGCACAUUGUUGACAGGCAGGCUGGUAGAGCACGAUAAUGCAGCCUUCACACUUGUUGAAUGCAACCAUAGUACUGUGCAAUUUCAGAAUACAAGGUAGGCAUGUAAAAAAUACAAGUAAUACAGAAAGUGUGUAUAUAUACUCGUAUAUUCUUCAGUCUUACACUUUUUCAUAAAUUUAAUAAUCUUCAUCCUUGUAAAAAUAUCAAAACCAAAAUAAUUUCCAUAUUUUAUGAAAAAAAAAAAAAGUUAGUGCUUGCAUUUUUAUAUAUAAAGGCUUUCAAGAUAUCUGACUUGAAUGAAGAAUAACUGCAAUAUAUAAAUGGAUGAUCCCAGUAAUACAAAAAAUUAAAACUUUGUUUAGCCACAAUCCAUCCAUAGCCUGACACCUGCUCCUAUGCAUUACCUCCCCAUGCCAUGGUCCAGAACAGCAGAAACCACCCUUGAACUGUGAGGGUGACCAUCCGCCAUCCCGGGCCACGACUCAAUAAAUGGGUUCCCAUGGCACUUGUGCCUAGCAUUAUCCCUGGGCAUGUGCCACAAGUGGGACUAUAAAAGGUAGAGAAGAAUGGGCAGAUCCCCAGCCUAGUGUCACCCUAAACAGUAGAGGUAUAUAGAACAAGAGAAAGACAGAAAUGGCUAUGGGAAGUAAAGGACACCAACCCUCACUCUGACAAAGAGUCAGCCCACCACUCGGAAAAGUAAGAGAACGUAAAAGAAAA
This is a long non-coding RNA of Scylla paramamosain (green mud crab), 1131 nucleotides long. RefSeq lists it as uncharacterized. Lineage: Eukaryota; Metazoa; Arthropoda; Malacostraca; Decapoda; Portunidae. The transcript has 2 exons. The record is from RefSeq and is a predicted model, not a curated record.